Molecule: RNA transcript, 2976 nt
Organism: Triticum aestivum (bread wheat)
Lineage: Eukaryota; Viridiplantae; Streptophyta; Magnoliopsida; Poales; Poaceae
Exons: 8
Source: RefSeq, a predicted model, not a curated record
GAGCCCAUUGGGCAACCGUGCGAACCCUAGCCCCAAUCCACAGUCCCCACGCCCCUCACUCCUCCCUCCCUCGUCCGCCGCCGCGCUCCCUCCCUCCUCCCUCCUCUUCCUCCUCCUCCCUCGUCUCCACGGCCUCUGCCCUAGGAGCCCCACUGCCGACUGCUACUCCACCACCACGCCCCUUCCUCCUCCUCGCCUUCCCAUCGCUCGUGCACAGGUCGCCGCUGUGGCAGAUCAGGGACAGUGCUGGGUCGUCAAGAUGGGGUGGUUACAAAGGCUUCCCAGCCCAACGGCGCCGUCAUGGGAGGAGGCUCACCAUCGAAGAGUAGCCGCAGGUGCACAACAUCCAAAGAGGUGCAGCCGGGAAGAGGUGAGGAUAAGUCGCUUGAUUGACAAGAGCAGAGCAGCGGAUUGGAUCGAGGGGGCCUGCAUGUCCACGCCGCCUAGAGUCACCCUGACUGCCGUCUCAAGCCGCAACCGCGAGUCAACUGCACCGCUGCCGCCAGGAAUCCCGUCCCCAGCAAGGGAAGUUCAAUGACAUAAAGACACAGGAGAUAUUCAGUUAUGUUGAUUGGGGAAAUUAAUGAUCAUUCAGUCAACAAAUGGGGCAGUAUUCUGAUCUUAUUUCAUCUCAUGCAUUGAUUAUUUAUUGUCUUCUUUGCAUACAUAUUUUAUUAGUUAUUCAUAUAUACUUGUUAACUCCGCCUAUGUCUUCUAGGCAUAGCCGGUCCCAAGCCCUGGUAAAGGAGGAGGGUUGUGAUAGGCUUGGCGAGCCAACGUAAAAACUAGCCAGUCCCAUAGGUAUGAAACCCAUUUGAGCGAGAAUAGUACUAGGAUGGGUGACCUCCUAGGAAGUCCUCGUGAAAGGGUUUCAUAUCUAAGGGUUGUGAUAGGCUUGGCGAGCCAACGUAAAAAUUAGCCAGUCUUUUGGGUAUGAAAUCCAUUUGGGCGAGAGUAGUACUAGGAUGGGUGACCUCCUGGGAAGUCCUCGUGAAAGGGUUUCAUAUCUAGCCUACCCCAACUUGUUUGGGAUAAAAGGCUUCGUAAAGUAAAGUAUUCAUAUAUACUUGUUGUAUCUUUGUACUGCUGUUUUUACAAAUUGCCGUAUCCUAUGUGCUUGUUUCCAUAUCGUCGUAUCUGUGUUGUUAUAUGGUGCUUCAUAGCAAAAACUUAUACUUACUAAAGAAAGUGUUCCUUUUCUUGGUCCCAUUGCUCCAUAAGCAUGAUCACGUUUCUACUAAUUGAUUAUACAUAUGAUCUUUCUUUUGAUUAUUUUGUGAUACUUCUGAUUGACACUAUGAGGUGCUUCCUUGUCAUGCAGAUUCAUCCUUUACUUAAAUACUGAUGAUGAUAUGGUUGUAAAUUAGUCUGGGAUGGCAAGGCAGCUUGAAGGUGGUCACGGCCAUCUCGCAGAGAUGGUGCAAGCUGUCAAGAAUCACGGUGCUGGGGCACUGCACUUCACCGCCGGGUGCAAGAUGGUGGAAGUGUGCGAGUACCUGUUGAGGAUGUCCAGGUGGACGUGGAUGUCGUUGACCAAGCAGGGUUGUUUUGCUGUCCCAAAGGCACACGGGAGUCUGCGGGAAAAAAACUGGCGACGUUUUCUCUUGGAUAUUCAGAAAAUGGAGACACUCGGCGAUCUGGCUCUGCUGCAGGACCGUGUGUAACUACUUAGAAGCAUGAAAUAGCUAUGUAGCCAUCUGCCCAGCCAAGUACAAGGGAUGGCAAGGCAGCUUGAAGGUGGUCACGACCAUCUCGCAGAGAUGGUGCAAGCUGCCAAGAAUCAGGGUGCUAGGGCACUGCACUUCACCGCCGGGUGCAAGAUGGUGGAAGUGUGUGAGUACCUGUUGAGGAUUUCCAGGUGGACGUGGAUGUCGUUGACCAAGCAGGUGUGUCUCUGCAAAUUAAUGUUGGUGUUUUUUGCUCUUUUCAGAUUUUAAGCUUGGUGUAUAAACAUACAUGUCACUCACUGUAUGUAACUUUCAGUGCAAGAUUAAAAUAGGGGAUACAUCAUUAUGGAAGGUAUAUGAUUGAAUAGCAAAUUGGAUGGAUUUACUGUCAUAUCAUUUAUUUGUGACUGCAUGAUCUGAAUUGCGCAUCUCUGAAAAUAUGUUAGGCUCUUGCCCUUGGAAGAUUAGACUGAUGUGGUGUUGAUUUGUAAAUAAAUGGCAUGCUUACCAUUUUGAUUUAGGUGUGUAGGCAGAAGCGAAAAAAGAUCAUAAUCUCAGGUUUAGGCAUGCACAUGGCCACUGAUCACAAAUAAAUAGGAACAAAUGCAGUAUUGUGAUUUUGAGCAAGAGAAAUAGAAGUACAGUUUAUUGUUCAUAUUUUGAGCCACACUUGAACCUUGUCCUAAUAACUAGGACUGUUGUGAUGUUGCCCUAUUAUAAGUGCCUUGCUUAAACGUUUGGUUAAGUCGAGUGUAUAGCGAAGAGAAGGCUAGCUGAACCAUGCUAAAUAUGGAAAGAGGCGGGAGCUAUACACAUGAUCAGUUGUUCAUCAUUUCAAAAAGGAGGACAGACCCAGUGCAUAGAAGCUCCCACACAAGAUUUUGCCUAUUCUCUAAGAUGGAUGAUGAUUAGCGGUGCAACCAAAAAUUCAGAGCUGGGCUUUACACACUUCAGUGGACUGGAAUGCAGGAGUAGCAUGACAACACCAAGGUAGAGACCUGAAGAGAAGAAGGGAAUGGACCAAGGAAACUAGAACCGUGUUGUCAUGAUGUGGGUCGUGUCGUCUUCGUCCAUCUCCAUGGAGGCAUAUAUACAUAGGUUAGUCAUAGGAAAGGAGACCGUCUCCAUGGAACUCUGACUGAUGUGUAAUGUCCUCAUAGGACUGGACCGUUUACAGAGGGAGUACUUGAAAAUAGAUUCUUUAUAUAUUGUUUGGUUCCAUCAGCCGCAUAACCUAAAUUAGCAAUUUGGUAUCUAAACAGUGUAGUGUAACCAUUGUGCUUGCUGCAGUCUUACUUUAGUGUUGAAA